This 505-nucleotide ribosomal RNA is filed under the name uncultured bacterium. RNAcentral's name for it is "partial 16S ribosomal RNA". It matches the Rfam family "Bacterial small subunit ribosomal RNA", at positions 28 to 507 of the family's 1533-position model. The record is from RNAcentral.
GACGAACGCUGGCGGCAUGCCUAAUACAUGCAAGUAGAACGCACAGUUUAUACCGUAGCUUGCUACACCAUAGACUGUGAGUUGCGAACGGGUGAGUAACGCGUAGGUAACCUGCCUGGUAGCGGGGGAUAACUAUUGGAAACGAUAGCUAAUACCGCAUAAUAUUGAUUAUUGCAUGAUAAUUGAUUGAAAGAUGCUAUUGCAUCACUACCAGAUGGACCUGCGUUGUAUUAGCUAGUAGGUGAGGUAACGGCUCACCUAGGCGACGAUACAUAGCCGACCUGAGAGGGUGAUAGGCCACACUGGGACUGAGACAGGGCCCAGACUCCUACGGGAGGCAGCAGUAGGGAACCUUCGGCAAUGGACGAAAGUCUGACCGAGCAACGCCGCGUGAGUGAAGAAGGUUUUCGGAUCGUAAAGCUCUGUUGUAAGAGAAGAACGGGUGUGAGAGUGGAAAGUUCACACUGUGACGGUAUCUUACCAGAAAGGGACGGCUAACUACGUG